Molecule: non-coding RNA, 102 nt
Organism: Daldinia sp. EC12
Lineage: Eukaryota; Fungi; Ascomycota; Sordariomycetes; Xylariales; Hypoxylaceae
Source: the annotation of a GenBank genome assembly
GGCCGCUUGGCCCAAUGGUAAGGCGUCUGACUACGACCGAGUGUGCUCCAACACACUUGACAAGAUAUCAGGAGAUUCUGGGUUCGAGCCCCAGGGUGGUCA